UCCCAGACUCCUACGGGAGGCAGCAGUGGGGAAUAUUGGGCAAUGGACGCAAGUCUGACCCAGCAACGCCGCGUGAAGGAAGAAGGCUUUCGGGUUGUAAACUUCUUUUAAGGGGGAAGAGCAGAAGACGGUACCCCUUGAAUAAGCCACGGCUAACUACGUGCCAGCAGCCGCGGUAAUACGUAGGUGGCAAGCGUUGUCCGGAUUUAUUGGGUUUAAAAGGUGCGUAGGCGGAAUGCCAAGUCAGCGGUAAAAUCGCGGGGCUCAACCUCGCUCCGCCGUUGAAACUGGCGUUCUUGAGUGGGCGAGAAGUAUGCGGAAUGCGUGGUGUAGCAGUGAAAUGCAUAGAUAUCACGCAGAACUCCGAUUGCGAAGGCAGCAUACCGGCGCCCAACUGACGCUGAAGCACGAAAGCGUGGGUAUCGAACAGGAUUAGAUACCCCGGUACA
RNAcentral lists this ribosomal RNA (449 nucleotides) under uncultured bacterium. RNAcentral describes it as "bacterial SSU rRNA". It matches the Rfam family "Bacterial small subunit ribosomal RNA", at positions 329 to 794 of the family's 1533-position model. The record is from RNAcentral.